Molecule: ribosomal RNA, 253 nt
Filed under: uncultured bacterium
Lineage: Bacteria
Description: partial 16S ribosomal RNA
Rfam family: Bacterial small subunit ribosomal RNA
Source: RNAcentral
UACGGGGGGGGCAAGCGUUGUUCGGAAUUACUGGGCGUAAAGGGCUUGUAGGCGGCCAACUAAGUCCGACGUGAAAUCCCCAGGCUUAACCUGGGAACUGCGUCGGAUACUGGAUGGCUUGAAUUCGGGAGAGGGAUGCAGAAUUCCAGGUGUAGCGGUGAAAUGCGUAGAUAUCUGGAGGAAUACCGGUGGCGAAGGCGGCAUCCUGGACCGACAUUGACGCUGAGACGCGAAAGCGUGGGGAGCAAACAGG